GAGACGACCUCCAGAUGUGGGCUCCCCGGGUGCGGAGGAGGGCAGGCGUGCCGUGCCAGACCAGACCAGACCAGGGAUUGGGGGACGGUCUGCAUCUGCAUCAGGAGCGCCUCCAGCCCUUUGGCCAGAAGAUCAGGUUCCAGUUCAGUUUCUGGAGCAGAUAAGAUUCCAUGAGCUGCAUGAAUCUUGGAGAUUCAGAAGAUGGUCUCAGCCGGCAAGAUUGGUCAUGGCCAUUGGCUUUUUCUGAAGCAGCAGUCCAGCGUCAGUCAUCAGCAAAAUGGUGACAAGAGACAGCUUCACUGGCUUUGUGAUCCCUGGAUCUCAUCUAAAUUGACGUUCUUAAAGUCAGCAGUUUCAGUGAUGGCUCCCUGAUUCUCCACCUUCCUGACUGUGGUAGGAGAGCAGUUCCCCUGCUGGGCUCAUUCUGUCGUGUUGUUCUCGAUGCUAUUUCUGGAAGCCUAACUCAGAGCUUUCCAGUCCUUCCAGGAUUGUGCGAACUCCUUGUUUCCU
Molecule: long non-coding RNA, 510 nt
Filed under: Equus caballus (horse)
Lineage: Eukaryota; Metazoa; Chordata; Mammalia; Perissodactyla; Equidae
Description: lncRNA (ENSECAG00000049251.1)
Source: RNAcentral